This 1421-nucleotide ribosomal RNA is filed under the name Limosilactobacillus fermentum. RNAcentral describes it as "bacterial SSU rRNA". It matches the Rfam family "Bacterial small subunit ribosomal RNA". Lineage: Bacteria; Bacillati; Bacillota; Bacilli; Lactobacillales; Lactobacillaceae. The record is from RNAcentral.
ACUCUGGUAUUGAUUGGUGCUUGCAUCAUGAUUUACAUUUGAGUGAGUGGCGAACUGGUGAGUAACACGUGGGAAACCUGCCCAGAAGCGGGGGAUAACACCUGGAAACAGAUGCUAAUACCGCAUAACAACUUGGACCGCAUGGUCCGAGUUUGAAAGAUGGCUUCGGCUAUCACUUUUGGAUGGUCCCGCGGCGUAUUAGCUAGAUGGUGGGGUAACGGCUCACCAUGGCAAUGAUACGUAGCCGACCUGAGAGGGUAAUCGGCCACAUUGGGACUGAGACACGGCCCAAACUCCUACGGGAGGCAGCAGUAGGGAAUCUUCCACAAUGGACGAAAGUCUGAUGGAGCAACGCCGCGUGAGUGAAGAAGGGUUUCGGCUCGUAAAACUCUGUUGUUAAAGAAGAACAUAUCUGAGAGUAACUGUUCAGGUAUUGACGGUAUUUAACCAGAAAGCCACGGCUAACUACGUGCCAGCAGCCGCGGUAAUACGUAGGUGGCAAGCGUUGUCCGGAUUUAUUGGGCGUAAAGCGAGCGCAGGCGGUUUUUUAAGUCUGAUGUGAAAGCCUUCGGCUCAACCGAAGAAGUGCAUCGGAAACUGGGAAACUUGAGUGCAGAAGAGGACAGUGGAACUCCAUGUGUAGCGGUGAAAUGCGUAGAUAUAUGGAAGAACACCAGUGGCGAAGGCGGCUGUCUGGUCUGUAACUGACGCUGAGGCUCGAAAGUAUGGGUAGCAAACAGGAUUAGAUACCCUGGUAGUCCAUACCGUAAACGAUGAAUGCUAAGUGUUGGAGGGUUUCCGCCCUUCAGUGCUGCAGCUAACGCAUUAAGCAUUCCGCCUGGGGAGUACGGCCGCAAGGCUGAAACUCAAAGGAAUUGACGGGGGCCCGCACAAGCGGUGGAGCAUGUGGUUUAAUUCGAAGCUACGCGAAGAACCUUACCAGGUCUUGACAUACUAUGCAAAUCUAAGAGAUUAGACGUUCCCUUCGGGGACAUGGAUACAGGUGGUGCAUGGUUGUCGUCAGCUCGUGUCGUGAGAUGUUGGGUUAAGUCCCGCAACGAGCGCAACCCUUAUUAUCAGUUGCCAGCAUUAAGUUGGGCACUCUGGUGAGACUGCCGGUGACAAACCGGAGGAAGGUGGGGAUGACGUCAAAUCAUCAUGCCCCUUAUGACCUGGGCUACACACGUGCUACAAUGGAUGGUACAACGAGUUGCGAACUCGCGAGAGUAAGCUAAUCUCUUAAAGCCAUUCUCAGUUCGGAUUGUAGGCUGCAACUCGCCUACAUGAAGUCGGAAUCGCUAGUAAUCGCGGAUCAGCAUGCCGCGGUGAAUACGUUCCCGGGCCUUGUACACACCGCCCGUCACACCAUGAGAGUUUGUAACACCCAAAGUCGGUGGGGUAACCUUUUAGGAACCAGCCGC